This 482-nucleotide ribosomal RNA is filed under the name uncultured bacterium. RNAcentral describes it as "partial 16S ribosomal RNA". It matches the Rfam family "Bacterial small subunit ribosomal RNA", at positions 28 to 523 of the family's 1533-position model. The record is from RNAcentral.
AAUGAACGUUGGCGGCGUGGAUUAGGCAUGCAAGUCGAGCGAGAACCGUAGCAAUACGGGGACAGCGGCGAAAGGGAGAGGAAUACGCGGGUACCUACCCUCGGAUCUGGGAUAGCCACGGGAAACUGUGGGUAAUACCCGAUAACGUCUUCGGACCAAAGGUGUGAUUCCGUUCGAGGAGGGGCCCAAGUCCUAUUAGCUAGUUGGUGGGGUAAUGGCCUACCAAGGCAAUGAGGGGUACGGGGCGUGAGAGCGUGCCCCCGCUCACUGGGACUGAGACACUGCCCAGACACCUAUGGGUGGCUGCAGUCGAGGAUCUUCGGCAAUGGGCGCAAGCCUGACCGAGCGAUGCCGCGUGCGGGAUGAAGGCCUUCGGGUUGUAAACCGCCGUCGGAAGGGAGGAAAUGCCUAGGGGUUCUCCCCUAGGUUUGACCUAUCUUCAGAGGAAGUACGGGCUAAGUUCGUGCCAGCAGCCGCGGUAA